GACGAACGCUGGCGGCGUGCUUAACACAUGCAAGUCGAACGGAAAGGCCCUGCUUUUGUGGGGUGCUCGAGUGGCGAACGGGUGAGUAACACGUGAGUAACCUGCCCUUGACUUUGGGAUAACUUCAGGAAACUGGGGCUAAUACCGGAUAGGAGCUCCUGCUGCAUGGUGGGGGUUGGAAAGUUUCGGCGGUUGGGGAUGGACUCGCGGCUUAUCAGCUUGUUGGUGGGGUAGUGGCUUACCAAGGCUUUGACGGGUAGCCGGCCUGAGAGGGUGACCGGCCACACUGGGACUGAGAUACGGCCCAGACUCCUACGGGAGGCAGCAGUGGGGAAUAUUGCACAAUGGGCGGAAGCCUGAUGCAGCGACGCCGCGUGCGUGAUGGCGGCCUUCGGGUUGUAAACCGCUUUCGCCUGUGACGAAGCGUGAGUGACGGUAAUGGAUAAAGAAGCACCGGCUAACUACGUG
Molecule: ribosomal RNA, 468 nt
Filed under: uncultured bacterium
Lineage: Bacteria
Description: partial 16S ribosomal RNA
Rfam family: Bacterial small subunit ribosomal RNA
Source: RNAcentral